GAUGAACGCUGGCGGCGUGCCUAAUACAUGCAAGUCGAGCGAACGGACGAGAAGCUUGCUUCUCUGAUGUUAGCGGCGGACGGGUGAGUAACACGUGGAUAACCUACCUAUAAGACUGGGAUAACUUCGGGAAACCGGAGCUAAUACCGGAUAAUAUUUUGAACCGCAUGGUUCAAAAGUGAAAGACGGUCUUGCUGUCACUUAUAGAUGGAUCCGCGCUGCAUUAGCUAGUUGGUAAGGUAACGGCUUACCAAGGCAACGAUGCAUAGCCGACCUGAGAGGGUGAUCGGCCACACUGGAACUGAGACACGGUCCAGACUCCUACGGGAGGCAGCAGUAGGGAAUCUUCCGCAAUGGGCGAAAGCCUGACGGAGCAACGCCGCGUGAGUGAUGAAGGUCUUCGGAUCGUAAAACUCUGUUAUUAGGGAAGAACAUAUGUGUAAGUAACUGUGCACAUCUUGACGGUACCUAAUCAGAAAGCCACGGCUAACUACGUGCCAGCAGCCGCGGUAAUACGUAGGUGGCAAGCGUUAUCCGGAAUUAUUGGGCGUAAAGCGCGCGUAGGCGGUUUUUUAAGUCUGAUGUGAAAGCCCACGGCUCAACCGUGGAGGGUCAUUGGAAACUGGAAAACUUGAGUGCAGAAGAGGAAAGUGGAAUUCCACGUGUAGCGGUGAAAUGCGCAGAGAUAUGGAGGAACACCAGUGGCGAAGGCGACUCUCUGGUCUGUAACUGACGCUGAUGUGCGAAAGCGUGGGGAUCAAACAGGAUUAGAUACCCUGGUAGUCCACGCCGUAAACGAUGAGUGCUAAGUGUUAGGGGGUUUCCGCCCCUUAGUGCUGCAGCUAACGCAUUAAGCACUCCGCCUGGGGAGUACGACCGCAAGGUUGAAACUCAAAGGAAUUGACGGAGGCCCGCACAAGCGGUGGAGCAUGUGGUUUAAUUCGAAGCAACGCGAAGAACCUUACCAAAUCUUGACAUCCUUUGACAACUCUAGAGAUAGAGCCUUCCCCUUCGGGGGACAAAGUGACAGGUGGUGCAUGGUUGUCGUCAGCUCGUGUCGUGAGAUGUUGGGUUAAGUCCCGCAACGAGCGCAACCCUUAAGCUUAGUUGCCAUCAUUAAGUUGGGCACUCUAAGUUGACUGCCGGUGACAAACCGGAGGAAGGUGGGGAUGACGUCAAAUCAUCAUGCCCCUUAUGAUUUGGGCUACACACGUGCUACAAUGGACAAUACAAAGGGCAGCGAAACCGCGAGGUCAAGCAAAUCCCAUAAAGUUGUUCUCAGUUCGGAUUGUAGUCUGCAACUCGACUACAUGAAGCUGGAGUCGCUAGUAAUCGUAGAUCAGCAUGCUACGGUGAAUACGUUCCCGGGUCU
RNAcentral lists this ribosomal RNA (1372 nucleotides) under uncultured bacterium. RNAcentral's name for it is "bacterial SSU rRNA". It matches the Rfam family "Bacterial small subunit ribosomal RNA", at positions 28 to 1381 of the family's 1533-position model. The record is from RNAcentral.